Molecule: long non-coding RNA, 4204 nt
Filed under: Homo sapiens (human)
Lineage: Eukaryota; Metazoa; Chordata; Mammalia; Primates; Hominidae
Description: PREDICTED lncRNA (TCONS_00085941)
Source: RNAcentral
GCGGCGCCGGACCCGGCUGCGCGCGGACCGUUAGCUACUGCGGCCGGGACGCGGCCCCGCCCAGGCGAGCGGCGGGUGGCUCUUACCAGCGGGAACGCCAUGGGGCCGGUGUGGCCCUGCGGGGCUGACGGGCUGACCGGCCAGCCGGCGGGCGAGAGACGCGCACGCACGUGGGCACUAUUUUUGCAGCGGGCCGCGCGCAGCCCCGCACCCCGGCAGCUUAUGAAGCUCCUACGAGCCGCUCCUCGGAGCCGCCCCCCGGCCGGAUGCGGAGCACCUGUGUCGGCCCCGCCCGGGCCCUCGCCUCCGCCCCCUCGCGCCCCGCCCCUCCUAGCAGGCCGAGCCGAGGAGGGCUCCGCCGCCCACCCGGAACCCGGCGGGGACUGCCGCCGCUGCUAGCCACAGCUGCCCCCUGGGGGGCCAGAGACCUAAGCCUGAGCGCGCCAUCACCUAAGUGACCCUUGCCGAGUCACUGUCUGCCCUGGGCCUCAGUUUCCCUCUUAACGAAAGAGGGCACGAUUUACAAGCCCCUGCGAGCGGCGGCGAUCGCUUCGUCAGUAGAGCCUCGUGUCCGCGCUCCUUCUCUUCCAGUGAUCUCUCCAGGGCGAGAGCCUGCCCUGGCAUCCUUGGUCGGAACUGUAGCCCCUGGGCUCCAGGAGGCGCACUCACUUUAGACCCUCUGCUCCGUGCGCUGCAGAGGGGGCCGCGAGAGUCAGGAAGUUCCAGAAAGUUCCAAAGACAUCACUGGUCCUCUUUGGACCGGAGUUCUCCGGAGAAACCGCUUCCGGCGCUCCUGACACACUGAGAUAGAAAGUUUCACAGAAAUAGGGCAAGGGAUAGGGCGAGGGCUCCAGGGCAGGCGUCCUAGGGCACCUGGCGCAGGGGCGGACCGGAAACCCCAGGCAAACGCAGAGUCGGAGAUGGCAUUCCAGGCGGAAGAUCAAGCAAAGGCAGAGAGGGAGGACGGCACCGAGCGGCUCCCUCUGACCAGGACUGAGGAUGAUGCGACCUGAUACCGCCGGAGGGAAGCCUGGGCCCGCUGAGCAAGAUAAGAACCUGAAACCCAGAAUAGUGCCCAAGGGAGCGGGUGUCUGGAGGCCCUGUCAUAUUUCAAAACUGUCAACCAUAAGAAAAUGAAGGCAUCUUUCAAGAGACUUGGAACAGAAACUUCUGCUGCCUAAAAUCUCUCUCCCUAAACUUUCUGUUGCAGAUGAGACUGAAGCUCAAAGAAGUUAAGUAACUUGCCAAAAGACUCCCAGCUAAAAGUGUGAGAGCAAAGACUCAAACCAAGGCAGUCUUCUGGUUUCAGAGCCUGAAGUCUUAACCAGGUGAGAAUAAAACUUCCAGCAUGCUUAUGUGUGUGCUUAUCUGUGAAUGACCCCAGAGCUGACUGCAGAUGUUGAGAGAAGAGGUAACUUUGACCAAAUGCAGUCAUGACCUCAGGUGUGGGCAAGUCCUUGUUCCCUACCUGGACUUGGCUAGGCCUGCAGGUCAUACAGGAAGAACAGUCCCUCUGAAGGUGACCAUAAUCCACAGGGCAGGGUGUGGAAAGUGACAGAGGUGAAUUUAUUAAAUGACUUGGUCAAGUCCCCACAGCUGGUCACUGGCAGAAGCAGCAGAAACAAAUAGGCAGCAUUAUCUAUUCUCCCAGUCAACAAACAGCCUUUGAGCCCAGCUAUGCCUGGCACUGUCUCUGCAGUCAAGCCCCAGACUUACAAUACUGAUUUUAAGUCCAACUAUAUAAUUAGCUGGACUACAUUUUAAAUAUGUGUACUAGGGAAACAGGAGGGACCCUAUAGUCUUUUAUAUGCUCAAGUGUUCAGUGCUUCUGCAGGAGGCAGAGAGCUAAAAGAAGAGAGAAGUUUGAUGGGAGAAAAUAAUUUCCUGGUUGCAAAAGAUAAGAAAAGGAAUUCACUCAGGAACUCAAGACCACAAGGUAGACACACACAGUCUCUGCUCAAGUUUUGCCAAGCUCUGUACAGAAGAAACCAUGUUCUUUGUUUUUUCAAGUUCCUUUUAAGUGGGAUAAAAAAGUGGAUUGGGGCCAGGCGCGGUGGCUCAUGCCUGUAAUCCCAGCACUUUGGGAGGCCUAGGCAGGCAGAUCAUGAGGUCAGGAGAUCGAGACCAUCCUGGCUAACAUGGUGAAACCCCGUCUCUACUAAAAAUACACACAAAAAAUUAGCUGGGCAUGGUGGUGGGCGCCUGUGGUCCCAGCUACUUGGGAGGCUGAGGCAGGAGAAUGGCAUGAACCCAGGAGGCGGAGCUUGCAGUGAUCCGAGAUCUCACCACUGCACUACAUCCUGGGUGACAGAGCGAGACUCCAUCUCAAAAAAAAAAAAAAAAGAAAGAGUGGAUUGGCCCCACCUUUCAUCGUACACAAAAGUAAGUUAAAAAUACAAUUCUGAAAAGCUUUACUUAGAAUUUUUUCAGAAGAAAAUAUAGGAGAAUUUUUUUUUACCUCAGCCCGUGGAUGAAUUUUGUAAACUUGGAAAAAUAAGAUUGGAACAAUAAGCACAGGAUAUAAAGGAAGACAAUACAUUUGACCACACUGGAAUUAAAAACUUUGGUUUACUAAAAGAGUUUGUUUGUUUGUUUUGAGGUGGAGUCUUGCUCUGUCGCCCAGGCUGGAGUGCAGUGGCACGAUCUCGGCUCACUGCAAUCUCAGCCUCCCGGGUUCAAGCAAUUCUUCUGCCUCAGCCUCCAGAGUAGCUGGGAUUACAGACACCUGCCACCGCACCCGGCUAAUUUUUGUAUUUUUAGUGGAGACGGGGUUUCACCAUGUUGCCCAGGCUGGUCUCGAACUCCUGACCUCGUGAUCCGCCCGCCUCGGCCUCCCAAAGUGUUGGGAUUAGGCGUGAGCCACCGCCCAGCUAAAGAUAUUGUUUAAAGCUUGAAAAGACAAGCCAUAGACUGGAAGAAGGUAUCUCCAAUCCAUGUAUUUACAAAGAACUAGUUUCCAGACUAUGUAAGAAGUUCUGUAAUCAAUGAGGAAAAAACACAACUCCACAGAAAAAUGGGCAAAAGAUGAGAAUGGGCAGUUGACACAAGUGAAAAUCCAAAUGGCCAAGAAACAUCAGUAGAUGCCCACCCUCAUCAGUAACCAGGGAAAUGCAAAUGAAACCACAAUCAGAUGCCGUGCCACACUUUUCAAAUGGAAAAAAAUGAUCAACUUUCACUGUCCCAGUAGCAGGAUCACUGCUAGUGAGGGCGUAAACUGAUUCAGCUACUUUGGUGUGUGCUUUUAUGUUUCAUAUCUUUUAAUGGAGAGAAGGCAAUGCAUAGAGUGCACAAAUCUUUUUUAUUUAUUUAUUUAUUUAUUUAUUUAUUUUGAGAUGGAGUCUCGCUCUGUCGCCCAGGCUGGAGUGCAGUGGCGAGAUCUCGGCUCAUUGAAAGCUCUGCCUCCUGGGUUCAUGCCAUUCUCCUGCCUCAGCCUCCUGAGUAGCUGGGACUACAGGCGCCCGCCACCACGCCCGGCUAAUUUUUUGUAUUUUUAGUAGAGACGGGGUUUCACCCUGUUAGCCAGGAUGGUCUGGAUCUCUUGACCUUGUGAUCCACCUGUCUUGGCCUCCCAAAGUGCUGGGAUUACAGGCGUGAGCCACCACGCCCGGCCACAGUACACAAAUCUUAAGUGUAUACCGAGGUAACCACCACCCGCAUGGAGGCAUAGAAUCUCUCCAGAACCCCCACUGGGUUCCUUCCUGCCCCUUCCCACUUUAUACCUCCCUCCUCAAGGUACCGUUACCUUACUGCUUUUCAUUACAGAUUCAUUUAACCUGUUCUAGACUUCAUAUAAUUUUUGGUUUCUUUCAUUCAACAUACCUGUUAGAUCCAUCCAUGUUGUUGGCAUGUAGGAGUAGUUUGUUCCUUUGUAUUGCUAAGUAGUAUUCCAUUGUGUAGAUACACCAUAAUUUAUUUCUGCAUUCUCCUAUUGAUUGGAAUUUGAAUUCUUUCCACUUCGGGGACUAUUAUGAAUAAAGCUGCUAGAAAUAUUAUUGAUGUGAAGUAUAGCAACUCUGGUGAGCAAUUUGGAUUCUCUAGUUAACUUGAAAAAGUGUAUACUCUAUGACCCAGCAAUUCCAUUCCUAGGAAAAUAUGUUAGAGAAACUUUCAUACGUGUUAAGAAACAUGAGUAAAAAUGUCUGUAGCUGUUUUGUUAAUAGUUACAAAAACAAAACAAAAUAAAAUAAUCUUAAAUGCCCACCAA